This 497-nucleotide ribosomal RNA is filed under the name uncultured bacterium. RNAcentral describes it as "partial 16S ribosomal RNA". It matches the Rfam family "Bacterial small subunit ribosomal RNA", at positions 28 to 507 of the family's 1533-position model. The record is from RNAcentral.
GAUGAACGCUGGCGGCGUGCCUAAUACAUGCAAGUCGAACGCUGAAGGAAGGAGCUUGCUCUUUCCGGAUGAGUUGCGAACGGGUGAGUAACGCGUAGGUAACCUGCCUGGUAGCGGGGGAUAACUAUUGGAAACGAUAGCUAAUACCGCAUAACAGUAGAUGUUGCAUGACAACUAUUUGAAAGGGGCAAUUGCUCCACUACCAGAUGGACCUGCGUUGUAUUAGCUAGUUGGUGAGGUAACGGCUCACCAAGGCGACGAUACAUAGCCGACCUGAGAGGGUGAUCGGCCACACUGGGACUGAGACACGGCCCAGACUCCUACGGGAGGCAGCAGUAGGGAAUCUUCGGCAAUGGACGGAAGUCUGACCGAGCAACGCCGAGUGAGUGAAGAAGGUUUUCGGAUCGUAAAGCUCUGUUGUAAGAGAAGAACGAGUGUGAGAGUGGAAAGUUCACACUGUGACGGUAUCUUACCAGAAAGGGACGGCUAACUACGUG